GCAACCUACCUAUGACUGGGGGAUAGCCCGGGGAAACCCGGAUUAAUACCGCAUAACACAAUGGAGUCUCAUGGUUUUAUUGUUAAAGAUUUAUUGGUUGAAGAUGGGCAUGCGUUCGAUUAGCUAGUUGGCGGGGUAACGGCCCACCAAGGCGACGAUCGAUAGGGGAGCUGAGAGGUUGAUCC
RNAcentral lists this ribosomal RNA (185 nucleotides) under uncultured Bacteroidota bacterium. Its description in RNAcentral is "uncultured Bacteroidetes bacterium partial 16S ribosomal RNA". It matches the Rfam family "Bacterial small subunit ribosomal RNA", at positions 121 to 306 of the family's 1533-position model. The record is from RNAcentral. Lineage: Bacteria; Pseudomonadati; Bacteroidota.